Molecule: ribosomal RNA, 253 nt
Filed under: uncultured bacterium
Lineage: Bacteria
Description: partial 16S ribosomal RNA
Rfam family: Bacterial small subunit ribosomal RNA
Source: RNAcentral
UACGGGGGGGGCAAGCGUUGUUCGGAAUUACUGGGCGUAAAGGGCUCGUAGGUGGCCAACUAAGUCGGACGUGAAAUCCCUCGGCUUAACCGGGGGACUGCGUCUGAUACUGGAUGGCUUGAGUUCGGGAGAGGGAUGCGGAAUUCCAGGUGUAGCGGUGAAAUGCGUAGAUAUCUGGAGGAACACCGGUGGCGAAGGCGGCAUCCUGGACCGACACUGACGCUGAGGAGCGAAAGCCAGGGGAGCAAACGGG